AGUGAACGCUGGCGGUAGGCCUAACACAUGCAAGUCGAACGGCAGCACAGUAAGAGCUUGCUCUUACGGGUGGCGAGUGGCGGACGGGUGAGGAAUACAUCGGAAUCUACUUUUUCGUGGGGGAUAACGUAGGGAAACUUACGCUAAUACCGCAUACGACCUACGGGUGAAAGCAGGGGAUCUUCGGACCUUGCGCGAUUGAAUGAGCCGAUGUCGGAUCAGCUAGUUGGCGGGGUAAAGGCCCACCAAGGCGACGAUCCGUAGCUGGUCUGAGAGGAUGAUCAGCCACACUGGAACUGAGACACGGUCCAGACUCCUACGGGAGGCAGCAGUGGGGAAUAUUGGACAAUGGGCGCAAGCCUGUUCCAGCCAUACCGCGUGGGUGAAGAAGGCCUUCGGGUUGUAAAGCCCUUUUGUUGGGAAAGAAAAGCAGCAGGUUAAUACCCCGCUGUUCUGACGGUACCCAAAGAAUAAGCACCGGCUAACUUCGUG
Molecule: ribosomal RNA, 492 nt
Filed under: uncultured bacterium
Lineage: Bacteria
Description: partial 16S ribosomal RNA
Rfam family: Bacterial small subunit ribosomal RNA
Source: RNAcentral